Molecule: long non-coding RNA, 416 nt
Filed under: Trifolium pratense (red clover)
Lineage: Eukaryota; Viridiplantae; Streptophyta; Magnoliopsida; Fabales; Fabaceae
Description: long non-coding RNA (TPRA_LNC005200)
Source: RNAcentral
UGACAUGAAGUUACAUACAUGAAGUUUUUAAUCCAACAGAUAUAGAAUCUUGCAGAUAAGUGAAUGCAAUACAAACACAUCAUAUUUUAGCUAUUCUGUACAAAAGUGGCACUCAUACUAUGUUUCAGCGAUAUUCAUACUCAGUGAUAUGAUCCCUCCCUGCCCAUCUCUCUUCAUAUUUUCCAAAUGAGUAUGUAACCGAAGGCAUCCUAGUUAAGUGAAAGGGGUCAGGUUCAAUUCCAUCAUCAGUGAGUGGCCUAUUCUCCAAAAAUAUCAUCAUGCUUUUGUACAAAUUCUGGUAUCUCAAUCUCUCCUUUCUUGAUAUCAUCCCAGAGGUACUGAAGGCGGCUUACGUACUUGAUCUUCAAAUAUAAUCUAAACAAACAAACAAACAAACAGAACCAUUAAUAAUAAUU